GGGGAGAUAGCUGAGAUGGUUUUAGCACUUGCCUGAAAAGCAAGAGACGUGGGUUCAACUCCCACUCUUCCCA
This 73-nucleotide transfer RNA is filed under the name Trichocoleus sp. FACHB-40. Its description in RNAcentral is "tRNA-Phe". It matches the Rfam family "tRNA". Rfam says of the family: Transfer RNA (tRNA) molecules are approximately 80 nucleotides in length. Their secondary structure includes four short double-helical elements and three loops (D, anti-codon, and T loops). The record is from RNAcentral. Lineage: Bacteria; Bacillati; Cyanobacteriota; Cyanophyceae; Leptolyngbyales; Trichocoleusaceae. RNAcentral also lists the same sequence under 3 other names.